RNAcentral lists this ribosomal RNA (2213 nucleotides) under Escherichia coli. Its description in RNAcentral is "partial 23S ribosomal RNA". It matches the Rfam family "Bacterial large subunit ribosomal RNA", at positions 609 to 2806 of the family's 2925-position model. Lineage: Bacteria; Pseudomonadati; Pseudomonadota; Gammaproteobacteria; Enterobacterales; Enterobacteriaceae. The record is from RNAcentral.
UGUAUAAUGGGUCAGCGACUUAUAUUCUGUAGCAAGGUUAACCGAAUAGGGGAGCCGAAGGGAAACCGAGUCUUAACUGGGCGUUAAGUUGCAGGGUAUAGACCCGAAACCCGGUGAUCUAGCCAUGGGCAGGUUGAAGGUUGGGUAACACUAACUGGAGGACCGAACCGACUAAUGUUGAAAAAUUAGCGGAUGACUUGUGGCUGGGGGUGAAAGGCCAAUCAAACCGGGAGAUAGCUGGUUCUCCCCGAAAGCUAUUUAGGUAGCGCCUCGUGAAUUCAUCUCCGGGGGUAGAGCACUGUUUCGGCAAGGGGGUCAUCCCGACUUACCAACCCGAUGCAAACUGCGAAUACCGGAGAAUGUUAUCACGGGAGACACACGGCGGGUGCUAACGUCCGUCGUGAAGAGGGAAACAACCCAGACCGCCAGCUAAGGUCCCAAAGUCAUGGUUAAGUGGGAAACGAUGUGGGAAGGCCCAGACAGCCAGGAUGUUGGCUUAGAAGCAGCCAUCAUUUAAAGAAAGCGUAAUAGCUCACUGGUCGAGUCGGCCUGCGCGGAAGAUGUAACGGGGCUAAACCAUGCACCGAAGCUGCGGCAGCGACACUGUGUGUUGUUGGGUAGGGGAGCGUUCUGUAAGCCUGUGAAGGUGUGCUGUGAGGCAUGCUGGAGGUAUCAGAAGUGCGAAUGCUGACAUAAGUAACGAUAAAGCGGGUGAAAAGCCCGCUCGCCGGAAGACCAAGGGUUCCUGUCCAACGUUAAUCGGGGCAGGGUGAGUCGACCCCUAAGGCGAGGCCGAAAGGCGUAGUCGAUGGGAAACAGGUUAAUAUUCCUGUACUUGGUGUUACUGCGAAGGGGGGACGGAGAAGGCUAUGUUGGCCGGGCGACGGUUGUCCCGGUUUAAGCGUGUAGGCUGGUUUUCCAGGCAAAUCCGGAAAACUAAGGCUGAGGCGUGAUGACGAGGCACUACGGUGCUGAAGCAACAAAUGCCCUGCUUCCAGGAAAAGCCUCUAAGCAUCAGGUAACAUUAAAUCGUACCCCAAACCGACACAGGUGGUCAGGUAGAGAAUACCAAGGCGCUUGAGAGAACUCGGGUGAAGGAACUAGGCAAAAUGGUGCCGUAACUUCGGGAGAAGGCACGCUGAUAUGUAGGUGAAGUCCCUCGCGGAUGGAGCUGAAAUCAGUCGAAGAUACCAGCUGGCUGCAACUGUUUAUUAAAAACACAGCACUGUGCAAACACGAAAGUGGACGUAUACGGUGUGACGCCUGCCCGGUGCCGGAAGGUUAAUUGAUGGGGUUAGCGGUAACGCGAAGCUCUUGAUCGAAGCCCCGGUAAACGGCGGCCGUAACUAUAACGGUCCUAAGGUAGCGAAAUUCCUUGUCGGGUAAGUUCCGACCUGCACGAAUGGCGUAAUGAUGGCCAGGCUGUCUCCACCCGAGACUCAGUGAAAUUGAACUCGCUGUGAAGAUGCAGUGUACCCGCGGCAAGACGGAAAGACCCCGUGAACCUUUACUAUAGCUUGACACUGAACAUUGAGCCUUGAUGUGUAGGAUAGGUGGGAGGCUUUGAAGUGUGGACGCCAGUCUGCAUGGAGCCGGCCUUGAAAUACCACCCUUUAAUGUUUGAUGUUCUAACGUUGGCCCCUGAUCGGGGUUGCGGACAGUGUCUGGUGGGUAGUUUGACUGGGGCGGUCUCCUCCUAAAGAGUAACGGAGGAGCACGAAGGUUGGCUAAUCCUGGUCGGACAUCAGGAGGUUAGUGCAAUGGCAUAAGCCAGCUUGACUGCGAGCGUGACGGCGCGAGCAGGUGCGAAAGCAGGUCAUAGUGAUCCGGUGGUUCUGAAUGGAAGGGCCAUCGCUCAACGGAUAAAAGGUACUCCGGGGAUAACAGGCUGAUACCGCCCAAGAGUUCAUAUCGACGGCGGUGUUUGGCACCUCGAUGUCGGCUCAUCACAUCCUGGGGCUGAAGUAGGUCCCAAGGGUAUGGCUGUUCGCCAUUUAAAGUGGUACGCGAGCUGGGUUUAGAACGUCGUGAGACAGUUCGGUCCCUAUCUGCCGUGGGCGCUGGAGAACUGAGGGGGGCUGCUCCUAGUACGAGAGGACCGGAGUGGACGCAUCACUGGUGUUCGGGUUGUCAUGCCAAUGGCACUGCCCGGUAGCUAAAUGCGGAAGAGAUAAGUGCUGAAAGCAUCUAAGCACGAAACUUGCCCCGAGAUG